This 1248-nucleotide long non-coding RNA is filed under the name Vulpes vulpes (red fox). Its description in RNAcentral is "lncRNA (ENSVVUG00000006462.1)". The record is from RNAcentral. Lineage: Eukaryota; Metazoa; Chordata; Mammalia; Carnivora; Canidae.
AUGAGACUUCUUAGGCACAUGAAUUUCACAAGUCACUUCCUUCCUCAUAUGCCUGCCAGGCCAGCGAGGCCUACAAAUCUGUGCUAUGAAGUGGUGACUGAACCACCAGGAUACAGGUGUAAACAGCCAUCACUGGGAGCUACGUCAGGGCUGAAAGUUCUCAGUAGGCAGGCACAUCAUCCCCGAAGUGCAAGGUCGCUAAGCAGAAGUUCAGAGAUCGAUGUGGAGGUGGUAGAAGUGAGCAGAUGGACUGCUGCGGUCUGGGGGAAUCUGGAUGUAAACUCUUCAGGCGUUGGAGUAUUCCUGCGAGCAAGCAAUAAGAGGAAAUCAGAAUACACACCUGGCCCAUUUAAGCCACAGACCAUUACUUCCAGAACGCUAUAUAUCAUCACAUAGAGUAGAGAAGAAAAGCUGUAGACUGGCCUGCCUCAACACUGUUAUGUAUUCAUUGUUGCAAUUAUGCUACAGCUUUGGCUCUGGGGUAAAGGUACAUUUUUUUUUUUUUAACUCACUCUAACCCUUCCUGCUCGGUUCCAGAAAACUAGGGAGCUAGUUCAUUCAUUUGAUAAAUAUGUACAGAAGAGCAUGUAGGAUGGGUCAGACAUUGAGUGGAUUAAGGAGAUGCCUAAGAUGCAGACAGGUGAUCCCUAUGUCCAAGGACUUGAUAGUCUAGUAGGAAAGGGCAGCUGUCUGACAAUAAUGAGGGCCGUGAAGUACCUCAGUAGGCUAUGAUCCAUGGACAGAGAGGGAGACCGAGGAGGGCGCCCUGGUCUCUAGAUUGGCUGCUGAGGGCGGCUGCAGAAGGGCUCAGAGCUGAGAGCUGGACUCAAGGUUCCCAGAGGAGUAAGUCCACAUGGCCUUGGGGCCUGCAGUGCUGGGGGCAGUAGAUACAAGGCAGGACCUCAUCUAUCAUUAGGCCAGUGCAGCUGGAAGCUUCUUGAGGAGCAAAGAAAUUUUCACAUGAGGUUUGGGCUUAACGCAUUUGGGUUUGAGCGCUGGCCUGUCACUAAUCUGUGACCGAGGGAAGUGAAUCAAGCUGAGGAUCAGUUUUCUCUCCUAUCACAAUGAAUUAAAAAGAAAUGUCUCACCUCUUUCACAGAGCAGUGAAAAGGAUCAAGUUCAACGACAUUCCUGUGUUUUUCAAACUAGUAUCAUAGACUCAUGGGAUCACUGUGGACUAGUAUUUUUACUCCAUGGUGAGUAAUCUAUAACACUUUGAAAUAGAAAAUGAGUAGGCUUAACAACAUU